AUUUGGCACGUGUAAAGUUAAGCCCUUUAGUCGCCUCUUAUCCUCUUCACGAUUAGCCACCGUCACUUCUUCUUCCCGUGAGCGACCUUGCCGCUUUCAUGUCGUUCGAGCUUCUAUCAAGUUACUUCGAGGUCAUGGCAACGUAACGAUUGUUGAUUCGAUCCAGUCAAAACAAUUAAUGUCAUCAUUAACAACAUCACCGGCUCAUCCAACGAAGUCUCUUUCGAUACACCUUCUCCUAUCUCAAUGCUUGCGGAUCUACUCAUAUAAAUAAGUGAUUUGAUGGUUAAAAGGUCAUCACUCUACUUCUUCAAGAUCAAUAUAAUAUUCACAAACUCUUGAUUUAGUAUUUUAGGUCCGACAAAGAUAAAGGAAUCGGAUAGCGUGAGAGAAUCAAAGCCUCUGAAACUCUUGAUUUAGUAUUUUAGGUCCGACAAAGAUAAAGGAAUCGGAUAGCGUGAGAGAAUCAAAGCCUCUGAAACUAGAUAACGGUUUGUGUAAAUCGCUUUCUUUAUCGGCUCGGUUCAAACAAGAGUUGAAGCAAUGCGCUGCCCUAAAGCGUCAGUUUCUCUUUGCAGCUGUGCAUGAGAAGUACAAGGAAAGACAAGAAAGCAUAAGAUGGAAUAUGGACAGAGCUUGAAAUUUCUCAAGAAGAAGAAGCAGCAGGAAUGGAUGGUGGAUCACGUCUAUAACAUAAAAUCACUCUGAACCAAACCACGUCAUGGUUUGUUGUAUCCGUUUUUUUUUGAAAAAAGAGUUCAGUUUGUCAAAAAAAAGAAAAGAAAAUUUGAUUACACAACUCGGUAUCGUUCAUCACUGAUUACAUAGCUUAAUGUUAUGUUAUAAUAACAGUGUAUGAAGCGUUCAUGGAAUCAUGAUAAUUUCGAGACGUCUAAUUUAAUCACAAGAAGAAUAGUCGGAAAGUGACAAUAUAAGGCCAUUUUUAGCUAAAUUGGUAUAAUUCAAUUUACAAAAUACAUAUUUGUAUGUGUCAAUUAUUUAAAUGUUUCUGAAGUUGUAAUAAGAUAAUAAGAAAAAGCAAAGAAUCUCAAUUGACACCACAAUCAUCGUGUUAUCAAAUAUGAUUUGCAUAGGUAAAAUCCUGAUUAAGCCAUGUCAUCGUUCACGUCAUUUCUUUAAUGUAUGAUUUUUUGACAAAAUCCAUAUGGUUGUCUGAGACUAUCAACAUAUAUAUAGCUGCUUUCUCUCUGCUCCUCUAAUCAGUUUACUGAAGCAUUUCGUGUCUUUUAUUAACCUGAUGUCAGCAUGAGAAGAAGCUAACCAUGGAGGACAAAAUAAGAUAAGAGAUGUGGAUGAUGUUGAGUCCAAUCAUUCGAAGAACAUAGAUGCUUCAAGUGGCAAGAAAGCUUUAAGAGCCUCUAAUGACAGCGACACCAAGUAUGGCUGUGUGGGAACAAGAAACAACUUUAUAGUAAAGUAGAAGUUUACAGUCGAGGAAUAAGUAUGAUUGCAAACAUGACAAAGACAUAUAUAAGUGAUUUUGUGGCAAUAAAAUUACAAGAAACUCUGAUAGUUUGGAUGAGUAUGAAAACAUGAGGAAGCUAAGGAUGCAGGUUCCAUGUC
Molecule: long non-coding RNA, 1584 nt
Organism: Raphanus sativus (radish)
Lineage: Eukaryota; Viridiplantae; Streptophyta; Magnoliopsida; Brassicales; Brassicaceae
Exons: 2
Source: RefSeq, a predicted model, not a curated record